Long non-coding RNA from Homo sapiens (human), 1947 nucleotides. Ensembl annotates it as long intergenic non-protein coding RNA 1878. The record is from Ensembl. NCBI's taxonomy places the organism in Eukaryota, Metazoa, Chordata, Mammalia, Primates, Hominidae.
GGGUAUGAGCAGCCAGGAUAUUGAUAGGGGCAGUCAAGAAAAGAAUUCUACUGAAAUAAGUAAUUGGUUCUGGAAAAGGAUGUUUCAAAAUUCUUAUCUGAUGGCAGUCUGAAGUCCUGGAAGAAAGAUUUCCACUUUUUCUACUGGAUAUAGCUGUGUCUACAUGGAAUACCUGGCAAAUGGACUCAUCCAGCAACCAUGAAAGAACAAGACAGAGCUGCCGAGCAAAAAGGAGAGAACCUGGGUGCAUGGAAUAUUGUCAAACCACUGUGUUAGUUAGUGGUACCCAGAAUUGCCUACCUUUGGUUUUCUUGUUAUAUAAGUUGUUUUCUCAAAUAUGUUUCAUUGGGCUUUCUGUUUCUUAAAAAAGAUUCUAAGUGACAUACUGUAAAAGAAAAGGCUGAGAAAAACUGACUUUAUUGAGGUCAUACUACAUAACAAAUAUUUUGCAUCCAUUAUUUGGCUUAAUUUUUAUAACCACCUUAUGAAGUUCAUAUUUGAUCUCCAUUUAAAGAGGAGUACAACCCAAAAAGCCUGAAUUUUCCCCCAUGAGGUCAGAAGUCUUGACCCAAAAUUUUCAUAUGCAUCAUCAAGCAUUGCAUCUAGUUUUGACUGAUACCUGUUUCCCAGACUUCAAACUUUUAUGAAUUUCAAAGUACUUCAGUAGAACAUGGGGGUAUGAGUAAAAAUUGCAAAAUAAGGCAGAUUGUUCAAACCUUAGCACAUUUAUUAGUUUGGUGAACUAAGAUUACUCAGAUCCUAAAUUCUGUAUUAGUAUUUGUAAAAGGCAAUAAUAGUACCUAUUCACAAAUUGUACAACAUUUAACAAAUACCAAUACAGCUUAGUCAUGUAACAAAUGUGCUUUAUUUAUAUUAAUGCUGCUAGUGCAAAAUAUACAGUCAAGUUUUAAAAAUCAUAUCAUAGAAUUUUAGGACUAUAAGAGAUUGCAGAAAUGAAAUUUUGUAAUACACCUGCCAUUGAGCAUAGAAAACUUAACCUGCAAUUCAAAAAAUAGCUCAGAGCUAAAUAUAUAAGUGAUCUUCUUAUGAGUUACUUUUAAAAAGCUAAAUAUAAUAACUUUAUGUCAUUAAAUUUAUGAUAACCGUCAUUUGGAAUUAAUGACCAGCUACGUAAACACAGCUACAUGGAGAAAGAAAGGAAAACAAAUUUAGUUAGAAUUUAAGAACAUGGUCAUCUUACUGCAUUUUACCAUAUCUGGUGGACAACUCUGUAGUGUUGUAUAAUUGAGAAAACAUUAAACUUGGAAUCAAAAGAUGUAGCUGACAUCAAGCCCCUUCUCCAUUAUUCAUUAUGUCUGUAACUUUGUGCAAGUCAUUUACUGCCUCUAAAUCUCAAUCUUUUUAUCUUUAAAAUGGGAGUGAUAAUUUAGCCUUUUGCUUAUCUCACAGAUUAAUUCUAAAGUCAAAGUAUAUACAAAAGCCUUUUAUGCAUUGAAAUAUGCAGCAUACAUGAAAGGAAAAUAAUAAAAAUUUCAGUGAACACAAACGGUGGAAACUUCAGACUGCAUAUUCUGUAACGUGUUCUUGAAGUUAUUUUUCCUUAGGAUAUUUACUCAUUACCUACUCUGAAGAAUCAGCAGCCUUUCUGAAACUGCACACUACUAACAUAGCAUAGUGCCAUGGAUGGCUAUAGAUUCAACCUGAGCCUUUUGAUGAUGAUGAGCUUUGAAGGAUUCCCAUCUCUAGAGCUGUGCGCACUUUGCUCACUGUACUUGAUAGAAUCAAGCUACAGGCUUAGCAUAUGAUAGUUGGUUUGAGUCAAGUUUGGAAAUCACUCAAUCAAGAAACCACUCAAUCACCCUGUCUAGAAAACAAAUGAAUUAGAGAAGAAAAAACCAAGAUGACUCAGACCCAAUUCUCAAAGUGUUUUUAAUGGGACAUUGAUUCGGCCCAUACUGAAUUUUAUUUACUAAAAAUAAAAAAUAA